Molecule: non-coding RNA, 588 nt
Organism: Marmota flaviventris (yellow-bellied marmot)
Lineage: Eukaryota; Metazoa; Chordata; Mammalia; Rodentia; Sciuridae
Source: RefSeq, a predicted model, not a curated record
GGCAUCCAAAUGGGACCCAGAACAAUAGCACAAGAUGGCCAGUCUUCAAAAGCACUGAACAAAAGUACCUAAGCUUGAACACAGGAUCUCCAAGUGUGCACACUAAACUACGUGCUCAACAAUGCCGAUUCUGGACACUGUUUUUUCCCAAAGUCUUGGAAAUGACAGGAAAUAUUGAUGAAGCAGAACAAGAGUGGAAAGCAGGAUUCCAUCGCUGGAACAAUUACAUGAUGGACUGGAAAAAUCAAUUUAACGAUUACACCAGCAAGAAAGAGAGCUGUAUGGGUCUCUAAUUAAUAGAUUUACCCUUUAGAGAAUGUGCAUUUUCCUCUAGAUGAAGGUAAAAUAUCAGUAGCUCUCUACACAUCUUCGAAGAAAGCUAUUAUAUAGCUGAAACAAAACUGCCAGAAGGGUAAUAUUGAUCCCUCACAUCUUUCACUUAGUAUUUUACCUAGCAUUUCAAAACCCAAAUGGUUAGACCACGUUUAAUUAAAUUUCACAAUAUGAAGUUUGACAAUUAAUUAUAUGCAUAUUAAAAUGAUGUGCUGCUUUAAUCUUUAUUUUCUGAAUAACUAAGUGUUUUUCCCC